GAUUUGGUCGGGUGGUCCGCUUAACGGCGUGUUACUGCUUGGCUGGGUCUUGUCUCUUGGUGAACCGUAGUGCCCUUUAUUGAGUGCUGCGGGGAACCAGGACUUUUACCUUGAGAAAAUUAGAGUGUUCAAAGCAGUCGUUUUACGACCGAAUAGCUUAGCAUGGAAUAAUGGAAUAGGACUUUGGUUCUAUUUUGUUGGUUUCUAGGACCAGAGUA
Molecule: ribosomal RNA, 218 nt
Filed under: uncultured fungus
Lineage: Eukaryota; Fungi
Description: partial small subunit ribosomal RNA
Rfam family: Eukaryotic small subunit ribosomal RNA (bases 48-218)
Source: RNAcentral